GUUCGCCAACGAAAGCCUGUGUGCUAGAGUCUGUCUUUAAUGGCAGGCGACCGUUGAUUGAUGCUGGGAGAAGAUUUCAUUGGAGCUCAACCAGCAGCCGUUAUGCCCGAUCUCGGCUCACAGAUCAUCUUCAGGCGGUCUCCCCUCCCCGAGGGAUUAAGAUAUGACCGGUCCCACCUUGUAACGGGUGGAAGGCGUGUUCCCGUAGUGGAACCUGCGGAAGGAUCAUUA
Molecule: ribosomal RNA, 231 nt
Filed under: Phaeophyscia primaria
Lineage: Eukaryota; Fungi; Ascomycota; Lecanoromycetes; Caliciales; Physciaceae
Description: partial 18S ribosomal RNA
Source: RNAcentral